Non-coding RNA from Misgurnus anguillicaudatus (oriental weatherfish), 1792 nucleotides. The record is from RefSeq and is a predicted model, not a curated record. Lineage: Eukaryota; Metazoa; Chordata; Actinopteri; Cypriniformes; Cobitidae.
AGGACGAGAUGUUGUCAUUCUGUCUUCUAUUCUGCCCGCAUAGAGAUACGGCGGCUAAAGGCGUUAUUAAAGUUGCUCAUCCAAGCGCCCUCAUGUUUGUUCGUACUAAUUUUAAUGGACGGGAAGCCGACUGACGAACAUCCUUUUCCCGAGAAAUGGUUCGGCUACGACACAUGUUGAGAAGUCACGCCAGGGGCUGAAUUAAGGUCGACCGUUUCAGCUGCAUUGAUGUGAAGUGAUGCAGUGGACAACUUGUGAGGGUGAUACCAUCCACAUGCACCUUAACUGUGAUGCAGAAAUACAAUACACUCUUAAAAUGAAUGUGUUAAAUUAACACAUCUUGUGUCUAGUUAAGGACAACAAAUCUAGUGUGUUGUCCUUAAUUUAACACAUCUCUGUGUUAUUUUUGGAACAACACACUGUGGGGUGGUUUCCCGGACAAGGAUUAGCUUAAUCCCGGACUAGGCCUUAGUUUAAUUAGUUUGAACAAACAUGUCUCACUAAAAACAUUACCUGUGUGCAUUUUAAGGCAAAACAAAGGGCACUGAUGUAUUUUAAGAUAUAUAAGUGCAAGUUGUUUUCAGUUUGGACAGCUCUUAAAAAUGUUUUAGUCUAGGACUAGUCUAAUCCCUGUCCGGGAAACCGCCCCCAAGUUGUUUUAACACAUCUUGUGUUGUCCCUUUUAUUUUUUAUGAACUUAAAUGACACUUAAUGUGUUAAAAACAACACAUAAUGUGUUAAAUAGUUUAACACAAAGCAAUGUGUUAAAAUCAACACAUCCAGGGUGUGUUAAUUUUAACACAUUGCUUUUUGUUAAACUAUUUAACACAUUAUGUGUUAAUUUUAACACAUUAUGUGUUAAUUUUAACACAUUAUGUGUCAUUUCGUGCUGAUUUAGAGUUCAUAUAAAUAAAAGGGACAACACAAGAUGUGUUAAAACAACACAAAGUGUGUUGUCCUUAACUAGACACAAGAUGUGUUAAUUUAACACAUUCGUUUUAAGAGUGUAGGAUGAUCCAUCUGUCUACACUUCAAAAUCACAACUCAACCUUAAACAUCCCAUAUCUGUUAUGGUAAAACAAUGUGGCGGUUUUCCAGACAGGGCUUAUACUGUUCCCGGGCUAAAAUGCAUGUUUGAGCUACUGUAAUUAAGAAAACACCUUGUACUGACACAUCUCAACAUAUAUCAUUGCCAUUGUUUUGUUUCAAGAUGCACACCAGUCUUGUUUUGUAAGGUUUGUUUGUAAAAACUAAAAUGUCCUAAUAUAAGUGCCCAGUCCUGGUUUAAUCUAAACCAUUGGUGACCAAACCUGUGUCUUGAGAUCUACUGUCCUGCAGAGUUCAGCUCCAACCCCAAUCAAACACACCUGAACCUGCCAAUCAAGCAUUUCAGGGCAACCUUAAAAUUAUAGUCAGGUGUGUUUAAAGCUGGGUUAGAACUAAAAUAUGCAGGAGGGUAGAUCUCCAGGAACAGGGUUGGUCACCCCUGAUCUAAACAAAGGGUUUCCAAACUGUGUCCUGCAAAGUUUAGCUCUAACCCUAAUCAAAAAACACACGAAGCAGCCAAUUAAGGUCUUAUCAAGCACACUAGAAACUUACUGGCAGGUGCUCUGAUGCAAGUAAGAGCUAAACUCUGCAGGACACCGGCCCUCCAGGACUGAGUUUGGGUACCCCUGACUAAGCCCUGCCUGGGAAACUGCACCAAUGUGUUGAGCUGGCACCAUUGGACAUUACUGUUGCUGAGAAACAACCACUUUCUCAGCUCUACACAGGGUUGACAUUGGAUGCAUUA